UUACAAUCUGUGAAACUGAUCUUCCCGUGAAGAAGCGGGAAUUACAAUACUAGACGAGAAGACCCCAUGAAGCUUCAAACUAACACAGCAACUUUACUGUAUCAACAACACCCUAACACAAGUAAGUAAUGACCAUUAGUUUUUGGUUGGGGUAACCGCGGAGUAAAAUAUACCCUCCAUAGUGAAGGGGGCCCCCCCUAAUUCAAGAACCACACCUCUAAAAAUCAGUAUACUGACGAAUCUGACCCAUAUACUUGAUCAAUGAACCAAGUUACUCUGGGGAUAACAGCGCAAUCUAUUUUGAGAGUCCGUAUUGACAAAUGGGUUUACGACCUCGAUGUUGGAUCAGGGCAUCCAAGUGGUGCACCCGCCACUAAAG
This 379-nucleotide ribosomal RNA is filed under the name Arthroleptis aureoli (Freetown long-fingered frog). RNAcentral describes it as "partial 16S ribosomal RNA". It matches the Rfam family "Bacterial large subunit ribosomal RNA", at positions 2027 to 2570 of the family's 2925-position model. The record is from RNAcentral. Lineage: Eukaryota; Metazoa; Chordata; Amphibia; Anura; Arthroleptidae.